GACGAACGCUGGCGACGUGCUUAACACAUGCAAGUCGAACGGAAAGGCCCUGCUUUUGUGGGGUGCUCGAGUGGCGAACGGGUGAGUAACACGUGAGUAACCUGCCCUUGACUUUGGGAUAACUUCAGGAAACUGGGGCUAAUACCGGAUAGGAGCUCCUGCUGCAUGGUGGGGGUUGGAAAGUUUCGGCGGUUGGGGAUGGACUCGCGGCUUAUCAGCUUGUUGGUGGGGUAGUGGCUUACCAAGGCUUUGACGGGUAGCCGGCCUGAGAGGGUGACCGGCCACAUUGGGACUGAGAUACGGCCCAGACUCCUACGGGAGGCAGCAGUGGGGAAUAUUGCACAAUGGGCGGAAGCCUGAUGCAGCAACGCCGCGUGCGGGAUGACGGCCCUCGGGUUGUAAACCGCUUUCGCCUGUGACGAAGCGUGAGUGACGGUAAUGGGUAAAGAAGCACCGGCUAACUACGUG
Molecule: ribosomal RNA, 468 nt
Filed under: uncultured bacterium
Lineage: Bacteria
Description: partial 16S ribosomal RNA
Rfam family: Bacterial small subunit ribosomal RNA
Source: RNAcentral